GACGAACGCUGGCGGCGUGCUUAACACAUGCAAGUCGAACGGAAAGGCCUCUUUCGGGGGGUACUCGAGUGGCGAACGGGUGAGUAACACGUGAGUAACCUGCCCUUGACUUCGGGAUAAAUUCAGGAAACUGGGGCUAAUACCGGAUAGGAGAUCCUGCUGCAUGGUGGGGGUUGGAAAGUUUCGGCGGUUGGGGAUGGACUCGCGGCGUAUCAGCUUGUUGGUGGGGUAGUGGCUUACCAAGGCUUUGACGGGUAGCCGGCCUGAGAGGGUGACCGGCCACAUUGGGACUGAGAUACGGCCCAGACUCCUACGGGAGGCAGCAGUGGGGAAUAUUGCACAAUGGGUGGAAGCCUGAUGCAGCAACGCCGUGGGCGGGAUGACGGCCUUCGGGUUGUAAACCGCUUUCGCUCAUGACGAAGCUUUGUGUGACGGUAGUGGGUAAAGAAGCACCGGCUAACUACGUG
Molecule: ribosomal RNA, 467 nt
Filed under: uncultured bacterium
Lineage: Bacteria
Description: partial 16S ribosomal RNA
Rfam family: Bacterial small subunit ribosomal RNA
Source: RNAcentral